AUACUGCCUACCUAGGCAGCUCACUAGUAAUACAGCUGAUAUGUGUCUCAUAAUACACAGGGCAAAUGGACCUUUUGAAGGGCACCUGCAGGAGUCAGUCAUCUAUAGCUGCCACAGAUGGAAGGUAAAAUCUCGUUCAUCAUGAUAUUAAUGGCACCAUGACUCCAUAAUACAAUCAUAAACACCUUCUGAUCGUGAUAAAGUGUGAUGCAGGGGUUUGUUUGUUUGUGUCACGCUGGCCAGGGUUAAAUACAGAACAGCUGUGGCCGAGGUCACACCCCAUCGAGUCUUUGAUGCGUCUUCUCUCAUUGGAGCGCUGCAGACUGUCCAUCUGAUUUAACCUUUCCAGAAGUACCUGAUCCCGGAGAAAUAGCCGUAAAGCCCAGCACCACCGGCUCUAGACUGUGGGAACGGCACUGUUGACUCUUCCCCCAUGAAAACGGCUUGCGAUUACAGAGAGAAGGAUAAGCAGAUGUAAAUUAGACGGAAACCCAGCCGCCCAUCACUGCGCAGUGCUUUAUAAUCAAGCUCAUCAGACUUUGGAUGGGAGGUUACGCCUCAGAGACUGAAGUGAAAAGGCCUGUCCUCUGAUUUAUGACCUUCUGCUGCCAUCGGAUCUUCUCCUGCACCCGGACGCUUUUUGUGAAGCACCGAAACAGACCCUCCCAGAAACCCCCAGGAGUUUUAAGUUUCCAAAGCCCAUGGAAGUGCCUUCUCCCUCCCGCCUGUUUACGCCGAUGGAGGGACAGAUCAUUCUGACUCAUGCACAGCUCUGGCUUAUCAGAGCUGCUGGCCCUGAAGAAUUAGGCCAGAUUUGCCACACUUCACAACCCCGAUGCCCAUCCCCUCACGGUGCACGAGGGCGAUUGUGAACAGAGUCUCAUUAUACCACCGUGGCACAAUGAGAGUGGAAAUCUUGGCACGCUUUGUGUUUACAAACCCAGCAGGCUUUUCAGACAGAGUUCAGAUGUGUG
This is a long non-coding RNA of Cyprinus carpio (common carp), 974 nucleotides long. The record is from Ensembl. Lineage: Eukaryota; Metazoa; Chordata; Actinopteri; Cypriniformes; Cyprinidae.